AUUCUCCCUUGGAUCCAGACUUUGAUUAUGGCUCAGGAUGAACGCUAGCUACAGGCUUAACACAUGCAAGUCGAGGGGAAACGACAUCGAAAGCUUGCUUUUGAUGGGCGUCGACCGGCGCACGGGUGAGUAACGCGUAUCCAACCUGCCCACCACUUGGGGAUAACCCUGCGAAAGUAAGACUAAUACCCAAUGACGUCUCUAGAAGACAUCUGAAAGAGAUUAAAGAUUUAUCGGUGAUGGAUGGGGAUGCGUCUGAUUAGCUUGUUGGCGGGGUAACGGCCCACCAAGGCUACGAUCAGUAGGGGUUCUGAGAGGAAGGUCCCCCACAUUGGAACUGAGACACGGUCCAAACUCCUACGGGAGGCAGCAGUGAGGAAUAUUGGUCAAUGGACGAGAGUCUGAACCAGCCAAGUAGCGUGCAGGAUGACGGCCCUAUGGGUUGUAAACUGCUUUUAUAAGGGAAUAAAGUGAGUCUCGUGAGACUUUUUGCAUGUACCUUAUGAAUAAGGACCGGCUAAUUCCGUGCCAGCAGCCGCGGUAAUACGGAAGGUCCGGGCGUUAUCCGGAUUUAUUGGGUUUAAAGGGAGCGUAGGCCGGAGAUUAAGCGUGUUGUGAAAUGUAGAUGCUCAACAUCUGCACUGCGGCGCGAACUGGUUUCCUUGAGUACGCACAAAGUGGGCGGAAUUCGUGGUGUAGCGGUGAAAUGCUUAGAUAUCACGAAGAACUCCGAUUGCGAAGGCAGCUCACUGGAGCGCAACUGACGCUGAAGCUCGAAAGUGCGGGUAUCGAACAGGAUUAGAUACCCUGGUAGUCCGCACGGUAAACGAUGGAUGCCCGCUGUUGGUCUGAAUAGGUCAGCGGCCAAGCGAAAGCAUUAAGCAUCCCACUUGGGGAGUACGCCGGCACCGGUGCAACUUAAAUGACA
This 928-nucleotide ribosomal RNA is filed under the name uncultured Bacteroidota bacterium. RNAcentral's name for it is "bacterial SSU rRNA". It matches the Rfam family "Bacterial small subunit ribosomal RNA", at positions 1 to 910 of the family's 1533-position model. Lineage: Bacteria; Pseudomonadati; Bacteroidota. The record is from RNAcentral.